UACGGAGGGGGUUAGCGUUGUUCGGAAUUACUGGGCGUAAAGCGCACGUAGGCGGAUUAGUCAGUCAGAGGUGAAAUCCCAGGGCUCAACCCUGGAACUGCCUUUGAUACUGCUAGUCUUGAGUUCGAGAGAGGUAAGUGGAAUUCCGAGUGUAGAGGUGAAAUUCGUAGAUAUUCGGAGGAACACCAGUGGCGAAGGCGGCUUACUGGCUCGAUACUGACGCUGAGGUGCGAAAGCGUGGGGAGCAAACAGG
Molecule: ribosomal RNA, 253 nt
Filed under: uncultured Pseudomonadota bacterium
Lineage: Bacteria; Pseudomonadati; Pseudomonadota
Description: uncultured proteobacterium partial 16S ribosomal RNA
Rfam family: Bacterial small subunit ribosomal RNA
Source: RNAcentral